Molecule: ribosomal RNA, 253 nt
Filed under: uncultured bacterium
Lineage: Bacteria
Description: partial 16S ribosomal RNA
Rfam family: Bacterial small subunit ribosomal RNA
Source: RNAcentral
GACGUAGGGGGCGAGCGUUGUCCGGAUUCAUUGGGCGUAAAGCGCGCGUAGGCGGCUGCGCAAGUCGGUUGUGAAAUUCCGGGGCUCAACCCCGGAACUGCGUCCGAUACUGCGUGGCUAGAGGUAGGUAGGGGAGAUCGGAAUUCCUGGUGUAGCGGUGAAAUGCGCAGAUAUCAGGAGGAACACCGGUGGCGAAGGCGGAUCUCUGGGCCUUACCUGACGCUCAGGCGCGAAAGCUAGGGGAGCGAGCAGG